RNAcentral lists this ribosomal RNA (255 nucleotides) under uncultured bacterium. RNAcentral describes it as "partial 16S ribosomal RNA". It matches the Rfam family "Bacterial small subunit ribosomal RNA", at positions 524 to 776 of the family's 1533-position model. The record is from RNAcentral.
UACGUAGGGUGCGAGCGUUAAUCGGAAUUACUGGGCGUAAAGCGUGCGCAGGCGGUGAGCUGUGUCCGAUGUGAAAGCCCCCGGGCUUAACCUGGGAAUGGCAUUGGAAACUGGCUCGCUGGAGUGUGGCAGAGGGGGGUGGAAUUCCGCGUGUAGCAGUGAAAUGCGUAGAGAUGCGGAGGAACACCGAUGGCGAAGGCAGCCCCCUGGGCUAACACUGACGCUCAGGCACGAAAGCGUGGGGGAGCAAACAGG